GCUUUAUAAGAGGUCCAGCCUGCCCAGUGAAUUUUAACGGCCGCGGUAUCCUAACCGCGCGAAGGUAGCAUAAUCACUUGUUCUUUAAAUGGGGACUCGUAUCAACGGCAUCACGAGGGUUUUACUGUCUCCUCUUUUUGAUCAGUGAAAUUGAUCUUCCCGUGAAGAAGCGGGAAUAUUUUUAUAAGACGAGAAGACCCCAUGGAGCUUUAAACCAAAUAACAACUUAACUACUUAUCCCACAAUAAAUUUAAGCCCUGUUAUAAGGUUUUUGGUUGGGGUGACCGCGGAGUAAAGCACAUCCUCCACGACGGAAAGAACAUAAUCUUUAUUUAAGAACCACACUUCUAGAAAUUAGUAUACUAACGUUUACUGACCCGACAAUCGAUCAACGGACCAAGUUACCCUGGGGAUAACAGCGCAAUCUACUUCAAGAGCUCAUAUCGACAAGUAGGCUUACGACCUCGAUGUUGGAUCAGGGUAUCCCGGUGGUGCAGCCGCUACCGAAGGUUCGUUUGUUCAACGAUUAAAACCCUACGUGAUCUGUUU
Molecule: ribosomal RNA, 549 nt
Filed under: Amolops larutensis (Larut sucker frog)
Lineage: Eukaryota; Metazoa; Chordata; Amphibia; Anura; Ranidae
Description: partial 16S ribosomal RNA
Rfam family: Bacterial large subunit ribosomal RNA
Source: RNAcentral